This 274-nucleotide ribosomal RNA is filed under the name uncultured bacterium. RNAcentral describes it as "partial 16S ribosomal RNA". It matches the Rfam family "Bacterial small subunit ribosomal RNA", at positions 523 to 796 of the family's 1533-position model. The record is from RNAcentral.
AUACGGAGGGGGCUAGCGUUGUUCGGAAUUACUGGGCGUAAAGCGCACGUAGGCGGCGCACGCAGUCAGAGGUGAAAGGCCUGGGCUCAACCCAGGAACUGCCUUUGAUACUGGUGUGCUAGAGUCCGGGAGAGGGUAGCGGAAUUCCCAGUGUAGAGGUGAAAUUCGUAGAUAUUGGGAAGAACACCGGUUGCGAAGGCGGCUACCUGGACCGGUACUGACGCUGAGGUGCGAAAGCGUGGGGAGCAAACAGGAUUAGAUACCCCGGUAGUCC